AUUGAACGCUGGCGGCAUGCCUUACACAUGCAAGUCGAACGGUAACAGGUCUUCGGUUGCUGAUGAGUGGCGAACGGGAGAGUAAUACAUCGGAACGUGCCCGAUCGUGGGGGAUAACGAGGCGAAAGCUUUGCUAAUACCGCAUACGAUCUACGGAUGAAAGCGGUGGAUCUUCGGACCUCGCGCGGACGGAGCGGCCGAUGGCAGAUUAGGUAGUUGGUGGGAUAAAAGCUUACCAAGCCGACGAUCUGUAGCUGGUCUGAGAGGAUGAUCAGCCACACUGGGACUUAAACACGGCCCAUACUCCUACGGGAGGCAGCAGUGGGGAAUUUUGGACAGUGGGCGAAAGCAUGAUCCAGCCAUGCCGCGUGCAAGCUAGAGACCUUCGGGUUGUAAACUGCUUUUGUACGGAACGAAAAGCCUCUUUCUAAUAAGGAGGGGUCAUGACGGUACCGUAAGAAUAAGCACCGGCUAACUACGUG
RNAcentral lists this ribosomal RNA (482 nucleotides) under uncultured bacterium. RNAcentral's name for it is "partial 16S ribosomal RNA". It matches the Rfam family "Bacterial small subunit ribosomal RNA", at positions 30 to 507 of the family's 1533-position model. The record is from RNAcentral.